Molecule: ribosomal RNA, 468 nt
Filed under: uncultured bacterium
Lineage: Bacteria
Description: partial 16S ribosomal RNA
Rfam family: Bacterial small subunit ribosomal RNA
Source: RNAcentral
GACGAACGCUGGCGGCGUGCUUAACACAUGCAAGUCGAACGGAAAGGCCCUGCUUUUGUGGGGUGCUCGAGUGGCGAACGGGUGAGUAACACGUGAGUAACCUGCCCUUGACUUUGGGAUAACUUCAGGAAACUGGGGCUAAUACCGGAUAGGAGCUCCUGCUGCAUGGUGGGGGUUGGAAAGGUUCGGCGGUUGGGGAUGGACUCGCGGCUUAUCAGCUUGUUGGUGGGGUAGUGGCUUACCAAGGCUUUGACGGGUAGCCGGCCUGAGGGGGUGACCGGCCACAUUGGGACUGAGAUGCGGCCCAGACUCCUACGGGAGGCAGCAGUGGGGAAUAUUGCACAAUGGGCGGAAGCCUGAUGCAGCAACGCCGCGUGCGGGAUGACGGCCUUCGGGUUGUAAACCGCUUUCGCCUGUGACGAAGCGUGAGUGACGGUAAUGGGUAAAGAAGCACCGGCUAACUACGUG